Molecule: ribosomal RNA, 468 nt
Filed under: uncultured bacterium
Lineage: Bacteria
Description: partial 16S ribosomal RNA
Rfam family: Bacterial small subunit ribosomal RNA
Source: RNAcentral
GACGAACGCUGGCGGCGUGCUUAACACAUGCAAGUCGAACGGAAAGGCCCUGCUGUUGUGGUGUGCUCGAGUUGCGAACGGACGGGUAACACGUGAGUAACCUGCCCUUGCCUUUGGGGUAACUUCAAGAAACUGGGGCUAAUACCGGAUAGAAGCUCCUGCUGCAUGGUGGGGGGUGGAAAUUUUCGGCGGUUGGGGAUGGACUCGGGGCUUAUCAGCUUGUUGGUGGGUUAGUGGCUUACCAAGGCUUUGACGGGGAGCCGGACUGAGAGGGUGACCGGCCACAGUGGGACUGAGAUACGGCCAAGACUGAUACGGGAGGCAGAAGUGGGGAAUAUUGCAAAAUGGGCGGAAGCAUGAUGCACCAACGCCGCGUGCGGGAUGACGGCCUUCGGGUUGUAAACCGCUUCCGCCUGUGACGAAGCGUGAGUGACGGUAAUGGGUAAAGAAGCAACGGCUAACUACGUG